AGGCAGCUCCCUGGCUGUCAUGUUCUGAGAAGCUUCCUUCACCCAUGACCUUUUUCUGCCUCCUUCUGCUGCCUCAUCUUGAGCCUAUAGCAAUGGAGUCUGCUGACCAUGGACUAAACCUCUGAAACCAUGAGCCCCAAAUUUAUUGUUUUCUUCUCUAAUUUUUUUUAAUCAGGUAUGUUUUUCCCAGCAAUGAAAAGCUAACGCAGACAUUGAUACACAGAAGUGGGGUCACUGCUGUGACUAACCUGACCAUGUGAUUGUAAAAUAUUUGGAAAUGAUUUGUGGGAUGUAUUGAAAGCUUUGGAAACGAAAGCUGGAGAAGUUUAUAAUAUUGUGAACAGAACUUCAUAUUAUGAUGGGAGCUCAAAAGACCAGAAAUCUGAUUGAAUGAAAACUGUGUUCAUGAGAUUUCGGAGGAGAAUAAGUAUUCUAUUGGGAAUUGGACUAGAGGCCACCAGCAUUAUAUUCUGGCAACAUUUGUCUAUAUUUGCACAUGUCCUGAGACUUCUUGUGAGACUGAAUUUCAAAGUAAUAGACCGAUUAAUCUGGCAGAGAAAAUUGCAAAGCAGCACAGUCAGUGGUAUAGAUUUUGUUUAUAACUUUUAGACAGGUUUACUAUGAGAAUCAGGAGAUAAAAUCAGAUCUGAAGGGUUUUAGAAACUUGCAUCUUGGACAGAAAAGUACCUGGGGCCAAGAAAGAUGUUAUUGUUGAAGAGAUCAUAGCCCCUAUAAAAAUGUUACGUACUUUGUACAGAGAUUAUGGGAAUGAUGGCUUUUAGGGCAUCUCAGGAAUUUGCAAGACCACACCCAUUAAGACUCUAACAUAUAAAAGAUUAAAUUCCUUUGAGAAAAGAUCAUGGGGUCACACUGAAGGUGUUUCACCAUGUUCAGCUGCCCAGGCACUCAGAGGUCACUGCACCCAUGGUUCUAGGUGUGCAGGUAUAGUGGCACCCUCUCAUCCACAGAAAAUCUUAACUAAGGUUCUCCAAGAAUCUUCACCAUAAUUGAUUGUAAGACUAUCAGCGAAAGAGACUCUUGUAGAGUUCAAUGUGGGUAAACUUCCUAUUUUCCUUUUGCUCUAUUUUACUUGGCAGGUGGCCUGGGAGAAAUCAUCACUCCAGGUGCUGAAUUCCCUUUUAUUAGUUUUUCACAAACAUUUAACCAGUAUAGUAGUUUUUAGAAGUGUGUUUACAAAUGCAAAAUAUGAUAAUAAAAAGAAAAAAAAAAACCUUUAACAAGGCCUCUGGCAUUGAGCUGGAGCUUCACAAGUGUCUACAUUUCAAAGAUAAGAGAAGUUACCAAUUGGGCUCCAUGGUAACAGCUGGCAGGGGGAGGAAAGAAAGGGGAGAAGAAGCUUUCCCCUUCUCAGAUAUUGUCCUUGAAAGAUUAACUUUCCUAAAACAUUGAAAAAGCUGCUUUUAUGUGAACAUCUGCAGGCUGUGAACGUGUGAGCCUCUCCCCUUACAUGCUGAGUAUAAAGUUGUGAAACUACCUGAACUUGGGGUUCAGGGGAUUAACUGAUUAUAGCAAAAGCUGUACCCCCUGGACUUGGCUGCAGCCAAAUAAUACUGUUUACUGCUAUCUUUGGUGCUUUGCCUCAUCUGUCCCCUACAACAGAGGGGCCAGUUACUACAAAAUCUGGCAUAACAUUGGUUCAUUAUCUAUGACAUGCUAGUUCUUCAGGAACACAAGAUGCUGGAGUUAAAGGGUCAUGGAGGAUUCUACCAAGAUUUCAAAGGAAGGUCUUAGAAGGCAAGAAAAAUGUAGUAGGGUUAUAAUUUCUGUCAGCUGUCCAUGAGAGGGUGAUAUGUGAAACUAUGAAGGUGAAGGCAAUGGAAUAGAGACCCUAGGAAUUAAGAGAUGUUAGGAAUGCAGAUUUGUCUGCUGGAAAACAAAACAAAACAAAACUGCCAGCUGUAGAGAAAUCCAGGCUAAAGUAAAGCCCAUUCGCUCUACAAUCAGCAAGGGCAAAGAGGUGUGUUAGAGUCUGUAAACAAGUCAGGAUGGCUCCUGGCAUUUUGCCAGAGAAAUGUUAGAGUCUGUAAACAAGUCUUGAUGGUGCCUGGCAAAAUGCCAGAGGGAGUGGUUUGUGAAGUAACACCAGCGAGCUAUUGAGUGUGGAGAUUCCUUAUUGGUUGACUGAUGUAUCGAGUUUAUGCUAAUUAGAUAAGCUGUGUGGAAUGUAUAAAUACUGCUCCUGGCCUGCAAUAAACGGAUCCUACUCCUGCUGUAUCAAUCUACACAAGUUGUUCGUCACCCCCUGGUUAUUUUGCUGCAGCCGGACUGUGGCAGAGGUGGGCUGCCCAAGCUCUUUGGAGAGAUCAUCUCAUCACCUAAAUGCUGUACCCAUUGUUACAGGACCCCGUUUGCCCAGCUAUGGUUUGGUUCCAUCCCUUUCUUCCCUUUGGAAUGGAAAAGUUUAAUCUAUGCCACUGUGUAUUGCAUAUAUACAACUUGAUUUUGAUUUUUACAAAGCUCAUAGCCAAAAGUUUGCCUUGUAUCUCAGGUAAGAUUUUGGACUUUUGGACAAUGCUGUAACUCUUAAGGCUAUGGAACUCUUGGUGAUAGGUGAAAUGCAUUUUACAUUAUAAGAUAGAUAUGAGGUUUGGGGAUUCAGGGGCGGAAUGUCAUGUUUUAGAUAUAAAGUGCACUCCAAAAUCUUCUGCAUUAAUGAAGAAAUAUUCACAGCUAAAAUGACUGAAUUGUGAGAGAUGUAAUUUAAUCAGUACAAAUUAAUUUGAAGGAACUGGGUGGUAACUGUAGGAAUGUGGUAACUGAGCAGCUGAAAGAGGUGGGUCUCUGAGGGUAUACUCUGGAAAGGUUGUCCUUUCUGUGACCCACUUUUUCCCCUAUUUGUUGGGGCCCUUUGUGAACUAAGGUCAUUUGUUCCAGCUAUUAAGGAAGGGAAGCUGCUCUUCCAGGAACUCCUGGGUAAAAUUCCCGGGUUCCAGAAAGCCCAGUUCAUGCUGGCACCGUGACUGACCUAGCUCGCAGCUGCAAGUUCAAACACAGAGCCACUGGAGAUGGGCAUAACCUGUCAAGCACAAACAACCUGUUUAUCUCCUGAAGGAGACCCUUAUCCACCCGCUUUGGUCUGUGCUGCUAUCAAUAAAGCAAACAGACUUUUUUUCUUUUUUAGAAGUCAGACCCGCUGAUCGGCUCAACUUUUCACACCCCUACUUUGAAAAUCUGUAAUUCUUGCCUUGUAUUUCUUGAUAUGUUACUUUCAUAGCUUUUAUUUUGUAGCCAGCCCAAUCUUUCGAUGGGUACACUUUCCCUCGCCCAUGCCAGAUGUGAGUGAGACCUCUCUCUCUCUCUGCUUCCUGACCCCACCAUGGGCUGAACAGUUUUCCUUCACUGGGCCCUUCUGCCGUGAUGGGUUGCCUCACGUUGGGCCCAGUUCAGUGGGGUCAGCUGUCUCUGGUCUGAGACCUCUGAAAAUCCUGAGCUCCAAAUAAAAUUUUCUUCUUCUAACUUGUUCU
This 3485-nucleotide long non-coding RNA is filed under the name Marmota monax (woodchuck). The record is from RNAcentral. Lineage: Eukaryota; Metazoa; Chordata; Mammalia; Rodentia; Sciuridae.